CUUUUCUUGUAAUUACUGGGAAAUAUCACCUGCCCAAUGAAAUUUGAAUGGCCGCGGUAUCUUGACCGUGCAAAGGUAGCAUAAUCAUUAGUCUUUUUAUUGAGGACUGGAAUGAAUGGUUGGACGAGAUAAGAACUGUCUUUAAUUUAUUUUAUUGAAUUUAAUUUUUGAGUAAAAAAGCUUAAAUUUUUUUAUGGGACGAGAAGACCCUAUAGAGUUUAUAUAUUUAUAAUUCUGUUUAUUGAUGUAUAUAAAUAUAAAUAUUAAUGAAUUAUAUGUAUUUAGUUGGGGUGAUUGAAAGAUGUAAGUAACUCUUUAUAUUGAAUAUUAUUGAUUUGUAUAAUUUUGAUCCAUUAUUAAUGAUUAUAAGACUAAAUUACCUUAGGGAUAACAGCGUAAUCUUUUUUGAGAGUUCUUAUUAACAAUAAGGGUUGCGACCUCGAUGUUGGAUUAAGAUAAUUUUUUGGUGCAAAAGCUUUAGAAUUGGGUCUGUUCGACCUUUAAAUUCUUACA
This 513-nucleotide ribosomal RNA is filed under the name Petasodes sp. MNHN PG25. Its description in RNAcentral is "partial 16S ribosomal RNA". It matches the Rfam family "Bacterial large subunit ribosomal RNA", at positions 1831 to 2600 of the family's 2925-position model. Lineage: Eukaryota; Metazoa; Arthropoda; Insecta; Blattodea; Blaberidae. The record is from RNAcentral.